Molecule: ribosomal RNA, 442 nt
Filed under: uncultured marine eukaryote
Lineage: Eukaryota
Description: SSU rRNA
Rfam family: Eukaryotic small subunit ribosomal RNA
Source: RNAcentral
UUGUUGCAGUUAAAAAGCUCGUAGUUGGAUUUCGGAGUGGGCCAGUUGGUCCGCCGCAAGGUGUGUUACUGACUGGUCGGCUCUUCUUCGCAAAGACUGCGUGUGCUCUUUGUUGAGUGUGCGUAGGAUUUACGACGUUUACUUUGAAAAAAUUAGAGUGUUCAAGGCAGGCUAUUGCUUGAAUACAUGAGCAUGGAAUAAUGGAAUAGGACUUUGGUCCCAUUUUGUUGGUUUCUAGGACCGAAGUAAUGAUUAAGAGGGACAAUUGGGGGCAUCCGUAUUUCGUUGUCAGAGGUGAAAUUCUUGGAUUUACGAAAGACGAACAACUGCGAAAGCACCUUGCCAAGAGUGUUUUCAUUAAUUCCAAGAACGAAAGCUAGAGGAUCGAAGACGAUUCAGGAUACCGUCCUAGUUCUAACCAUAAACGAUGUCUACUACGGAU